GCGGCACCUCUGACUUGAUCGGAGGAUAGACAACUUAUCCACGUUCAGAGCAGCACAUAAGUAUUAUAUAUCUUCACUGAAUAUAUUUAAAUUUUAGCCAUUUUAGAGUCUAACAUUUAUUGUUCAAAGUAAAUUUUACAACACAUUUAUAGAGCCUAGGAUGUCUCGUGUGGUUAUCGGCAUCAUCUAACAAUUGAUGCCGAGGUUGGUGAAUGAGUCUCCAGUUAGCCAUCUGGGGCUCACGAUGCAGCCUGAGAGAUGUUCUUGGUAAGUCAAAGAUGUUUAAUUUUUAAAUUUACAGUAGGUUUGUAUUCUA
RNAcentral lists this long non-coding RNA (316 nucleotides) under Elaeis guineensis (African oil palm). Its description in RNAcentral is "long non-coding RNA (EGUI_LNC044604)". The record is from RNAcentral. Lineage: Eukaryota; Viridiplantae; Streptophyta; Magnoliopsida; Arecales; Arecaceae.